GACGAACGCUGGCGGCGUGCCUAAUACAUGCAAGUAGAACGCUGAAGGAGGAGCUUGCUUCUCUGGAUGAGUUGCGAACGGGUGAGUAACGCGUAGGUAACCUGCCUGGUAGCGGGGGAUAACUAUUGGAAACGAUAGCUAAUACCGCAUAAGAGUAGAUGUUGCAUGACAUUUGCUUAAAAGGUGCAAUUGCAUCACUACCAGAUGGACCUGCGUUGUAUUAGCUAGUUGGUGGGGUAACGGCUCACCAAGGCGACGAUACAUAGCCGACCUGAGAGGGUGCUCGGCCACACUGGGAGUGAGACCCUGCCCAGGCUCCUACGGGAGGCCGCCGUAGGGAACUUUCGGCAAUGGCCGGAAGUCUGACCGAGCAACGCCGCGUGAGUGAAGAAGGUUUUCGCAUCGUAAAGCUCUGUUGUAAGAGAAGACCGGGUGUGAGAGUGGAAAGUUCACACUGUGACGGUCUCAUACCAGAAAGGGACGGCUACCUACGUG
Molecule: ribosomal RNA, 495 nt
Filed under: uncultured bacterium
Lineage: Bacteria
Description: partial 16S ribosomal RNA
Rfam family: Bacterial small subunit ribosomal RNA
Source: RNAcentral